This 277-nucleotide ribosomal RNA is filed under the name uncultured prokaryote. Its description in RNAcentral is "partial 16S ribosomal RNA". It matches the Rfam family "Bacterial small subunit ribosomal RNA", at positions 524 to 800 of the family's 1533-position model. The record is from RNAcentral.
UACGUAGGGGCAAGCGUUAUCCGGAUUUACUGGGUGUAAAGGGAGCGCAGACGGCAUCGCAAGUCUGAUGUGAAAGCCCGGGGCUCAACCCCGGAACUGCAUUGGAAACUGCGGAGCUUGAGUGUCGGAGGGGUAAGCGGAAUUCCUAGUGUAGCGGUGAAAUGCGUAGAUAUUAGGAGGAACACCGGUGGCGAAGGCGGCUUACUGGACGACUACUGACGUUGAGGCUCGAAAGCGUGGGGAGGCAAACAGGAUUAGAUACCCUGGUAGUCCCUGA